This 521-nucleotide ribosomal RNA is filed under the name uncultured bacterium. Its description in RNAcentral is "bacterial SSU rRNA". It matches the Rfam family "Archaeal small subunit ribosomal RNA", at positions 345 to 866 of the family's 1478-position model. The record is from RNAcentral.
AACCUCCGCAAUGUGAGAAAUCGCGACGGGGGGAUCCCAAGUGCCAUUCUUAACGGGAUGGCUUUUCAUUAGUGUAAAGAGCUUUUGGAAUAAGAGCUGGGCAAGACCGGUGCCAGCCGCCGCGGUAACACCGGCAGCUCUAGUGGUAACAAUUUUUAUUGGGCCUAAAGCGUCCGUAGCCGGUUUAAUAAGUCUCUGGUGAAAUCCUGCAGCUUAACUGUGGGAAUUGCUGGAGAUACUAUUAGACUUGAGACCGGGAGAGGUUAGAGGUACUCCCAGGGUAGAGGUGAAAUUCUGUAAUCCUGGGAGGACCGCCUGUUGCGAAGGCGUCUAACUGGAACGGUUCUGACGGUGAGGGACGAAAGUUAGGGGCGCGAAACCGGAUUAGAUACCCGGGUAGUCCUAACUGUAAACGAUGCGGACUUGGUGUUGGGUGGCUUUGAGCUGCUUCAGUGCCGAAGGGAAGCUGUUAAGUCCGCCGCCUGGGAAGUACGGUCGCAAGACUGGAACUUAAAGGAAUU